UUGGUAGUAAGUUGGAAACCCUGAAUUGCUUUAGCAAAAUAUGUCAAAAAUAAAUUGUGAACCUGUUAACGAAGCAAAAGUUACGUAUAUUGGACAGGUCAUAGUAUUCAAUAGGCCAAGAUGAAGAAUUGAUGAUUGAUGAGCCACACUGCGACAGUUGUUUGACAGUAAUGUAAUUUUUCUGUACACUUUGCAAGCGUGUAUGUUUGUAUGCAAAUUUAAGCAUAACAAACUGCGGUGAUUGUGCGUUCAUUUCUCGUGGUAGCUUUGAGUGACAGUUGACAAGUUGUGUGACUUCACCGGCGGGUGACAGAAAGGUCUUAAUUUGUACUGACGGGGAAUAUAGCAUCAGCAUGAGAUUGAAGUGGGCAAUUGUUGCAUUUUAUGGAAAUCAAGGCAGUUUAGAUAUAUGUGUGUCCCAUCUUGUACUUAUUUUAAUACUGCAUUAUUUUUUUUGCUUAUUGUAUUGUGUGCGCGUGAAAAUUCGAUAAAUUAUAUUCCAAUACUAACCAACAAUUUAUUUGAUAACUUAUAAUUAAAAAUUUAAUUUGCUGAGAUAUCAACUUAAGUUCUUUGUAUUUUUUUCAGAAGUAAAUUGAUUUUGGGUUUUGGGUGGGGAAUAUAUGUAUUUAGUAUAGAUAAUUGGCGGAAAAAGUAAGAUUGUAUAUGUAAGUAUAUGCAAUAAUAGGUAUAUUUGACUGGUCAUAGGAAUAAAUGAAGUAAGCUUAAUGCUUAGUAAAUUAACUAACCAUAACUAAGCCACAUAUUAUAAUACAAAACUGUUAUUUGGUAACGAGAAUCGCAAUAAAGAUGGCAAUCUGCGGUUAACAUUUUUUAAGUGGACGUGGCCCAGCUUAUAUGCUUGAUGCAAAUAUAAUAUAUCACAAAUUAUUUAAAAUGAUAAUGAUAAAAUUUCUAGCAAUAAAUAUAGUGAUUUUUAUCCUCUG
This is a long non-coding RNA of Bactrocera oleae (olive fruit fly), 947 nucleotides long. RefSeq lists it as uncharacterized. NCBI's taxonomy places the organism in Eukaryota, Metazoa, Arthropoda, Insecta, Diptera, Tephritidae. The record is from RefSeq and is a predicted model, not a curated record.